AUUCGAUUCUCCUGAAACGGGUGUAAUGCCGGAUGCUCCAGUUGGAUGCAUGUCCUUCUGGGAAAGAUUUCAUCGGUAUGGGAUGGGGUCGCGUCCUAUCAGGUAGUCGGCGGGGUAACGGCCCACCGAGCCUACGACGGGUAGCCGGCCUGAGAGGGCGACCGGCCACAUUGGGACUGAGAUACGGCCCAGACUCCUACGGGAGGCAGCAGUGGGGAAUAUUGCACAAUGGGCGCAAGCCUGAUGCAGCGACGCCGCGUGCGGGAUGACGGCCUUCGGGUUGUAAACCGCUUUUGAUCGGGAGCAAGCCUUCGGGUGAGUGUACCUUUCGAAUAAGCACCGGCUAACUACGUGCCAGCAGCCGCGGUAAUACGUAGGGUGCAAGCGUUAUCCGGAAUUAUUGGGCGUAAAGGGCUCGUAGGCGGUUCGUCGCGUCCGGUGUGAAAGUCCAUCGCUUAACGGUGGAUCCGCGCCGGGUACGGGCGGGCUUGAGUGCGGUAGGGGAGACUGGAAUUCCCGGUGUAACGGUGGAAUGUGUAGAUAUCGGGAAGAACACCAAUCACUAGUG
Molecule: ribosomal RNA, 568 nt
Filed under: uncultured Bifidobacterium sp.
Lineage: Bacteria; Bacillati; Actinomycetota; Actinomycetes; Bifidobacteriales; Bifidobacteriaceae
Description: bacterial SSU rRNA
Rfam family: Bacterial small subunit ribosomal RNA
Source: RNAcentral